Schistocerca gregaria is the source of this 690-nucleotide RNA transcript. RefSeq lists it as uncharacterized. Lineage: Eukaryota; Metazoa; Arthropoda; Insecta; Orthoptera; Acrididae. The record is from RefSeq and is a predicted model, not a curated record. The transcript is spliced from 2 exons.
UUUGGGUCCCUGACAGCAAGUAAAACGUCAAAGCGCUUCGUAGCGAAGUUAUUGAUCUCUUAGAACCAAAACUGAGAAUUCGUACAAUUUGAUGUUAUCAGACGCAUUUUUUUCAAAUAAAAUUGUAGUGCCCAAAUUAUGCAGCGCCUAAUUCGGGCCGUAGGACGUCCCGUGUUCAAACCGAAUGACGUGAGGAGAUUUUAUGCAAGAGGCCGGCCGCCAAAAAAACCAAACCUAUCGCAGCAAAAACCAGAAGACAGCAUAUUCGCAAAGAUUGUAACAAGACAGAUUCCAGCCGACAUUGUGUAUGAAGACGACGCGUUUAUAGCAUUCAAAGAUAUCAAAAGUCCAGUGGCGCCGGUGCACGUAUUGGUGAUCCCUAAAAAGCCCGUGUCGAGCGUCAGCUCGGAGCUGGCCCAUCCUAUGCUCUUGGGAGAGUGUGUGGUAACUGCAAAAAAAGUUGCCGAAAAAGAGGGUAUCGCAAAGACGGGGUAUCGUCUGGUUAUCAAUGAAGGUGCAGAUGGCAUGCAAUCUGUGCCGUGGCUGCAUGUUCAUGUUAUUGGUGGAAAAAGGCUUUCUUGGCCUCCUGGUGUUUGAACUUUUUUGUUCUCGAAGAGCUGAGUACACAUGCCAAUUUUUAAAACCAAUGCAAAACGAAUAAUAGAGCCUACGAUUACUCUAAAUAAACGA